This 234-nucleotide ribosomal RNA is filed under the name uncultured Candidatus Saccharibacteria bacterium. Its description in RNAcentral is "partial 16S ribosomal RNA". It matches the Rfam family "Bacterial small subunit ribosomal RNA", at positions 584 to 818 of the family's 1533-position model. Lineage: Bacteria; Candidatus Saccharimonadota. The record is from RNAcentral.
UAAGCGAAUAGUGAAUCUGGUGGCUCAACCAUUCAGGCUAUUAUUCGAACUCACUGACUCGAGAACAGCAGAGGUAACUGGAAUUUCUGAAGUAGGGGUAAUAUCCGUAGAUAUCAGAAGGAACACCAAUGGCGUAGGCAGGUUACUGGACCAUUUCUGACACUGAGGCACGAAAGCGUGGGAGCGAACGGGAUUAGAUACCCCGGUAGUCCACGCCGUAAACGAUGGAUACUA